GAAUCUAAGGAAGAAAUUCCAAUACUUGACCUUACAGGAGAUUCACCAAAGAAAAAGAAAAAAAAGAGGGAGAAGAAGGGCUAAAAUAAGAUAGAAGAACCAAAAAGCGAGGAACAAAGAAGAGUGAAAAAAAAGGCAAAAAAUAAAGUUGAAAAAAAGGAAUUAAAGAAAGAAAGAAUGGAGAAAAAAAGGCAAAAAAUAAAGUUGAAAAAAAGGAA
This 218-nucleotide long non-coding RNA is filed under the name Capsicum annuum. RNAcentral describes it as "long non-coding RNA (CANN_LNC012477)". Lineage: Eukaryota; Viridiplantae; Streptophyta; Magnoliopsida; Solanales; Solanaceae. The record is from RNAcentral.